Molecule: transfer RNA, 23 nt
Filed under: Phrynopus sp. SBH-2008
Lineage: Eukaryota; Metazoa; Chordata; Amphibia; Anura; Strabomantidae
Description: partial tRNA-Phe
Source: RNAcentral
CGGACUUUAAACAGUCCUUUAAA